ACGAAAGUGUGACAGGGCUAUCCCGAGUGCCAUCCGCUGAGGAAGGCUUUUACCCAGUCUAGAACGCUGGGGGAAUAAGGAGAGGGCAAGUCUGGUGUCAGCCGCCGCGGUAAUACCAGCUCUCCGAGUGGUGUGGAUGUUUAUUGGGCCUAAAGCAUCCGUAGCUGGCUAAGUUAGUCCCUUGUUAAAUCCACCGAAUUAAUCGUUGGAUUGCGGGGGAUACUGCUUGGCUAGGGGACGAGAGAGGCAGACGGUAUUUCCGGGGUAGGGGUGAAAUCCUAUAAUCCCGGGAAGACCACCAGUGGCGAAGGCUGUCUGCUAGAACGCGCCCGACGGUGAGGGAUGAAAGCUGGGGGAGCGAACCGGAUUAGAUACCCGGGUAAUCCCAGCUGUAAACGAUGCAGGCUAGGUGUUUGGACGGCCACGUGCCGUUCUAGUGCCGCAGGGAAGCUGUUAAGCCUGCCGCCUGGGGAGUACGAUCGCAAGAUUGAAACUUAAAGGAAUUGGCGGGGGAGCAC
This 518-nucleotide ribosomal RNA is filed under the name uncultured archaeon. RNAcentral's name for it is "bacterial SSU rRNA". It matches the Rfam family "Archaeal small subunit ribosomal RNA", at positions 359 to 879 of the family's 1478-position model. The record is from RNAcentral.